UGAUACUUGUUUUAUAAUUUAGUUGUAAUUUUUGUUGUAGUUGUGCAUGGAGGUAAAAAGUGUUUACCUACACCUCCAUCUUGGCUGGAAGUCUCUUAAUAUGCCCAUGGCCAACUGGCUGGUCCAGGGCCUGUUAGUCUUCUUUUCAGUUAUAAAAAGUUAUUCAUGAGAGGUUUUGGAAGUCAUGGAGUAGAAAACCCUGUGGUCUUUUAAAUGUGGGAAAAAUUGUCUAUUUGUUAUAAUAAUUCUUACAAAACAAUGAAAGAAAAGACUGUAGUUUUCCAUAGGAUAAUGAUGGCCACCUAAUCCAGUUCUCUCCACAAGAUCGAUAAGAAGAGCAAAGAACACCACUUUCCUGUAGGGUAGACUGAAAACUUCAAUUUAUAUGCAGAUAGUGAAGUAACUAAAGUCUGCAGAGCCAGCUCUGGAGCGCAUGCUAAGGUGAAAAGCUAAAGACUGCAUGGAAAAGACGAGAGGAUAGUGGGGGCCAAGGAUAGGGUUGAUUAGUAGUGGUGAAAUACAGAUGAAAUCUCCAGAAAGAGAGUCUAACCCUGAUUGGGAAAUACUGAAAACAGAUGUGGACCCUAUGCAUAGAGUGUUGUCUAUUAAAGAAUC
Phyllostomus discolor (pale spear-nosed bat) is the source of this 615-nucleotide long non-coding RNA. RefSeq lists it as uncharacterized. NCBI's taxonomy places the organism in Eukaryota, Metazoa, Chordata, Mammalia, Chiroptera, Phyllostomidae. The record is from RefSeq and is a predicted model, not a curated record. The transcript has 2 exons.